This 1476-nucleotide ribosomal RNA is filed under the name Lactiplantibacillus plantarum. RNAcentral's name for it is "bacterial SSU rRNA". It matches the Rfam family "Bacterial small subunit ribosomal RNA". The record is from RNAcentral. Lineage: Bacteria; Bacillati; Bacillota; Bacilli; Lactobacillales; Lactobacillaceae.
ACCCGUGGGGGCGUGCCUAUACAUGCAAGUCGAACGAACUCUGGUAUUGAUUGGUGCUUGCAUCAUGAUUUACAUUUGAGUGAGUGGCGAACUGGUGAGUAACACGUGGGAAACCUGCCCAGAAGCGGGGGAUAACACCUGGAAACAGAUGCUAAUACCGCAUAACAACUUGGACCGCAUGGUCCGAGCUUGAAAGAUGGCUUCGGCUAUCACUUUUGGAUGGUCCCGCGGCGUAUUAGCUAGAUGGUGGGGUAACGGCUCACCAUGGCAAUGAUACGUAGCCGACCUGAGAGGGUAAUCGGCCACAUUGGGACUGAGACACGGCCCAAACUCCUACGGGAGGCAGCAGUAGGGAAUCUUCCACAAUGGACGAAAGUCUGAUGGAGCAACGCCGCGUGAGUGAAGAAGGGUUUCGGCUCGUAAAACUCUGUUGUUAAAGAAGAACAUAUCUGAGAGUAACUGUUCAGGUAUUGACGGUAUUUAACCAGAAAGCCACGGCUAACUACGUGCCAGCAGCCGCGGUAAUACGUAGGUGGCAAGCGUUGUCCGGAUUUAUUGGGCGUAAAGCGAGCGCAGGCGGUUUUUUAAGUCUGAUGUGAAAGCCUUCGGCUCAACCGAAGAAGUGCAUCGGAAACUGGGAAACUUGAGUGCAGAAGAGGACAGUGGAACUCCAUGUGUAGCGGUGAAAUGCGUAGAUAUAUGGAAGAACACCAGUGCGAAGGCGGCUGUCAUGGUCUGUAACUGACGCUGAGGCUCGAAAGUAUGGGUAGCAAACAGGAUUAGAUACCCUGGUAGUCCAUACCGUAAACGAUGAAUGCUAAGUGUUGGAGGGUUUCCGCCCUUCAGUGCUGCAGCUAACGCAUUAAGCAUUCCGCCUGGGGAGUACGGCCGCAAGGCUGAAACUCAAAGGAAUUGACGGGGGCCCGCACAAGCGGUGGAGCAUGUGGUUUAAUUCGAAGCUACGCGAAGAACCUUACCAGGUCUUGACAUACUAUGCAAAUCUAAGAGAUUAGACGUUCCCUUCGGGGACAUGGAUACAGGUGGUGCAUGGUUGUCGUCAGCUCGUGUCGUGAGAUGUUGGGUUAAGUCCCGCAACGAGCGCAACCCUUAUUAUCAGUUGCCAGCAUUAAGUUGGGCACUCUGGUGAGACUGCCGGUGACAAACCGGAGGAAGGUGGGGAUGACGUCAAAUCAUCAUGCCCCUUAUGACCUGGGCUACACACGUGCUACAAUGGAUGGUACAACGAGUUGCGAACUCGCGAGAGUAAGCUAAUCUCUUAAAGCCAUUCUCAGUUCGGAUUGUAGGCUGCAACUCGCCUACAUGAAGUCGGAAUCGCUAGUAAUCGCGGAUCAGCAUGCCGCGGUGAAUACGUUCCCGGGCCUUGUACACACCGCCCGUCACACCAUGAGAGUUUGUAACACCCAAAGUCGGUGGGGUAACCUUUUAGGAACCAGCCGCCUAAAGGUGACAAAAUUG